Molecule: long non-coding RNA, 305 nt
Filed under: Bos taurus (domestic cattle)
Lineage: Eukaryota; Metazoa; Chordata; Mammalia; Artiodactyla; Bovidae
Description: long non-coding RNA NONBTAT025901
Source: RNAcentral
CAUUUUUAGCAUAGCUACCUUUAAGUAAGAGCUUUUUAAUUUCAUGGUGCAUAGAUUCAUACUCAGACUAUCUGAGAACUUCACGAUUACUUUUUUCCCUCAUGAAAUAAAGAGCUAUCUAGAGAAAAACUUUUCUCCAGUGAUUCCAAUUCCAUCCCAUCUCUCAAUUUCUUUGAGAAAUUGAGAAUUUAGACUGCCCGAGGUCAAGGCCAAGAAAAAAGGAAAAAACCGAUCAUGGUAGAUAGAGUGUCAUUAGUCAGCAGGAAAAUGCAGAGACAGAUUUUCAGCACAUCUAUUUGCUGCUU